This 808-nucleotide ribosomal RNA is filed under the name uncultured Planctomycetota bacterium. RNAcentral describes it as "bacterial SSU rRNA". It matches the Rfam family "Bacterial small subunit ribosomal RNA", at positions 46 to 832 of the family's 1533-position model. The record is from RNAcentral. Lineage: Bacteria; Pseudomonadati; Planctomycetota.
GGAUUAGGCAUGCAAGUCGAACGAGAAAGGUUUCGCAAGAGACCGAGUAAAGUGGCGGAAGGGUGAGUAAUGCAUAAAUAACUUACCUCUGAGAAGGGAAUAACCGCUCGAAAGGGUGGCUAAUACCCUAUAAGACCACGGGCCGCAUGGCUUGUGCUCAAAGAUGGGGACUCGCAAGGGCCUUUCGCUCAGAGAGAGAUUUAUGUCCUAUUAGCUAGUUGGUGAGGUAGUUGCUCACCAAGGCAAUGAUGGGUAGCCGACCUGAGAGGGUGACCGGCCACACUGGGACUGAGACACUGCCCAGACUCCUACGGGAGGCUGCAGUCGAGAAUCUUCCGCAAUGCGCGCAAGCGUGACGGAGCGACGCCGCGUGGGUGAUGAAGGCCUUCGGGUUGUAAAGCCCUGUUACCCGGGAAGAAUGACAAUUGGUUAAUAGCCUCUUGUUUGACGUUACCGGGAGAGGAAGCACCGGCUAAAUACGUGCCAGCAGCCGCGGUAAUACGUAUGGUGCAAACGUUGUUCGGAAUCACUGGGCAUAAAGAGCACGUAGGCGGACAAGCAAGUCUGAUGUGAAAUCCCCCGGCUUAACCGGGGAGGUGCAUUGGAAACUACUUGACUAGAGUGCAGGAGGGGAGAGUGGAAUUCCAGGUGGAGCGGUGAAAUGCGUAGAUAUCUGGAGGAACGCCGGUGGCGAAAGCGACUCUCUGGUCUGCUACUGACGCUGAGGUGCGAAAGCUAGGGGAGCAAACGGGAUUAGAUACCCCGGUAGUCCUAGCCCUAAACGAUGGGCACUAAGUAGAGGGGUUUU